Molecule: ribosomal RNA, 1786 nt
Filed under: Dermacentor nuttalli
Lineage: Eukaryota; Metazoa; Arthropoda; Arachnida; Ixodida; Ixodidae
Description: SSU rRNA
Rfam family: Eukaryotic small subunit ribosomal RNA
Source: RNAcentral
GUAAUCAUAUGCUUGUCUCAAAGAUUAAGCCAUGCAUGUCUAAGUACAUGCCGAAAUAAGGCGAAACCGCGAAUGGCUCAUUAAAUCAGUUAUGGUUCCUUAGAUCGUUUCUUCCUACUUGGAUAACUGUGGCAAUUCUAGAGCUAAUACAUGCAGUGAGCCUGAAGCCCUUUGGGCGACGGGUGCUUUUAUUAGACCAAGAUCGAUCGGGUUUCGGCCCGUAUUGUGUGGUGACUCUGGAUAACUUUGUGCUGAUCGCAUGGCCACGAGCCGGCGACGUUUCUUUCAAGUGUCUGCCUUAUCAACUUUCGAUGGUAGGUUACUUGCUUACCAUGGUUGUUACGGGUAACGGAGAAUCAGGGUUCGAUUCCGGAGAGGGAGCCUGAGAAACGGCUACCACAUCCAAGGAAGGCAGCAGGCGCGCAAAUUACCCACUCCCGGCACGGGGAGGUAGUGACGAAAAAUAACAAUACGGGACUCUUUUGAGGCCCCGUAAUUGAAAUGAGUACACUCUAAAUCCUUUAACGAGGAUCAAUUGGAGGGCAAGUCUGGUGCCAGCAGCCGCGGUAAUUCCAGCUCCAAUAGCGUAUACUAAAGCUGCUGCGGUUAAAAAGCUCGUAGUUGGAUCUCAGUUCCAGACGAGUAGUGCAUCUACCCGAUGCGACGGCUCGGACUGAACAUCAUGCCGGUCCUUUCUUGGUGCACUUCAUUGUGUGCCUCGAGAAGGCCGGUGCUUUUACUUUGAAAAAAUUAGAGUGCUCAACGCAGGCGAGUCGCCUGAAUAAACUUGCAUGGAAUAAUAGAACAAGACCUCGUUUCUGUUCUGUUGGUUUUUGGAAUACGAGGUAAUGAUUAAGAGGGACAGACGGGGGCAUUCGUAUUGCGGCGCUAGAGGUGAAAUUCUUGGACCGUCGCAAGACGAACUACUGCGAAAGCAUUUGCCAAGAAUGUUUUCUUUGAUCAAGAACGAAAGUCAGAGGUUCGAAGGCGAUCAGAUACCGCCCUAGUUCUGACCAUAAACGAUGCCAACCAGCGAUCCGCCUGAGUUACUCAAAUGACUCGGCGGGCAGCUUCCGGGAAACCAAAGUAUUUGGGUUCCGGGGGAAGUAUGGUUGCAAAGCUGAAACUUAAAGGAAUUGACGGAAGGGCACCACCAGGAGUGGAGCCUGCGGCUUAAUUUGACUCAACACGGGAAAACUUACCCGGCCCGGACACUGGGAGGAUUGACAGAUUGAGAGCUCUUUCUUGAUUCGGUGGGUGGUGGUGCAUGGCCGUUCUUAGUUGGUGGAGCGAUUUGUCUGGUUAAUUCCGAUAACGAACGAGACUCUAGCCUAUUAAAUAGGUGCGGGGUUCCCAGCACCUUACAACCUUCUUAGAGGGACAAGCGGCUCCUAGCCGCACGAAACAGAGCAAUAACAGGUCUGUGAUGCCCUUAGAUGUCCGGGGCCGCACGCGCGCUACACUGAAGGAAGCAGCGUGUCUUUAUCCCUGUCUGAAAAGACUGGGUAACCCGUGGAACUUCUUUCGUGAUUGGGAUAGGGGCUUGCAAUUGUUCCCCUUGAACGAGGAAUUCCCAGUAAGCGCGAGUCAUAAGCUCGCGUUGAUUACGUCCCUGCCCUUUGUACACACCGCCCGUCGCUACUACCGAUUGAAUGAUUUAGUGAGGUCUUCGGACCGAUGUCCGGCGCGGCCUUUCGGUUGCGCCGGUCUGUUGGAAAGAUGACCAAACUUGAUCAUUUAGAGGAAGUAAAAGUCGUAACAAGGUUUCCGUAGGUGAACCUGCGGA